This 920-nucleotide ribosomal RNA is filed under the name uncultured archaeon. RNAcentral describes it as "partial 16S ribosomal RNA". It matches the Rfam family "Archaeal small subunit ribosomal RNA", at positions 1 to 922 of the family's 1478-position model. The record is from RNAcentral.
UUCCGGUUGAUCCUGCCGGAGGUCACUGCUAUCAGUGUUCGACUAAGCCAUGCAAGUCAAAUGUUCUUCGUGAACAUGGCGGACUGCUCAGUAACACGUGGAUAACCUGCCCUUAGGAUUGGCAUAACACCGGGAAACUGGUGAUAAUACCGGAUAGACCAUUUAUGCUGGAAUGCUUUUUGGUUCAAAGGCUUCGGCUGCCUAAGGAUGGAUCUGCGGCCUAUCAGGUAGUAGUGGGUGUAAUGUACCUACUAGCCUACGACGGGUACGGGUUGUGAGAGCAAGAGCCCGGAGAUGGAUUCUGAGACAUGAAUCCAGGCCCUACGGGGCGCAGCAGGCGCGAAAACUUUACAAUGCGGGAAACCGCGAUAAGGGGACACUGAGUGCCAGCAUAUUAUGUUGGCUGUCCACAUGUAUAAAAACCAUGUGUUAGCAAGGGCCGGGCAAGACCGGUGCCAGCCGCCGCGGUAACACCGGCGGCCCGAGUGGUAGCCGUUUUUAUUGGGUCUAAAGGGUCCGUAGCCGGCUUGAUAAGUCUUUUGGGAAAUCUGACAGCUUAACUGUCAGGCUUCUAAGGGAUACUGUCAGGCUUGGGACCGGAAGAGGUAAGGGGUACUCCAGGGGUAGGAGUGAAAUCUUGUAAUCCCUGGGGGACCAUCUGUGGCGAAGGCGCCUUACCAGAACGGGUCCGACGGUGAGGGACGAAAGCUAGGGGAGCAAACCGGAUUAGAUACCCGGGUAGUCCUAGCUGUAAACGAUGCUCGCUAGGUGUCAGACACGGUGCGACCGUGUUUGGUGCCGCAGGGAAGCCGUUAAGCGAGCCACCUGGGAAGUACGGUCGCAAGGCUGAAACUUAAAGGAAUUGGCGGGGGAGCACUACAACGGGUGGAGCCUGCGGUUUAAUUGGAAUCAACGCCGGU